AUAAAAAACCAACGCCCUUCGGGGCUCCUUGGUGAAUCAUAAUAACUAAGCGAAUCGCAUGGCCUUGCGCCGGCGAUGGUUCAUUCAAAUUUCUGCCCUAUCAACUUUCGAUGGUAAGAUAGUGGCUUACCAUGGUGGCAACGGGUAACGGGGAAUUAGGGUUCGAUUCCGGAGAGGGAGCCUGAGAAACGGCUACCACAUCCAAGGAAGGCAGCAGGCGCGCAAAUUACCCAAUCCCGACACGGGGAGGUAGUGACAAUAAAUACUGAUACGGGGCUCUUUUGGGUCUCGUAAUUGGAAUGAGUACAAUCUAAAUCCCUUAACGAGGAACAAUUGGAGGGCAAGUCUGGUGCCAGCAGCCGCGGUAAUUCCAGCUCCAAUAGCGUAUAUUAAGGUUGUUGCAGUUAAAAAGCUCGUAGUUGAACCUUGGGUCUGGCUGACCGGUCCGCCUCACCGCGAGUACUGGUUCGGCUGGGCCUUUCCUUCUGGGGAACCUCAUGGCCUUCACUGGCUGUGG
Molecule: ribosomal RNA, 517 nt
Filed under: uncultured fungus
Lineage: Eukaryota; Fungi
Description: SSU rRNA
Rfam family: Eukaryotic small subunit ribosomal RNA
Source: RNAcentral